RNAcentral lists this ribosomal RNA (598 nucleotides) under Thalassobaculum fulvum. Its description in RNAcentral is "bacterial SSU rRNA". It matches the Rfam family "Bacterial small subunit ribosomal RNA", at positions 67 to 713 of the family's 1533-position model. The record is from RNAcentral. Lineage: Bacteria; Pseudomonadati; Pseudomonadota; Alphaproteobacteria; Rhodospirillales; Thalassobaculaceae.
CGGCUCUUCGGAGCAGUGGCGCACGGGUGAGUAACGCGUGGGAACCUACCCUGAGGUUCGGAAUAACGGUUGGAAACGACCGCUAAUACCGGAUGUGUCCUAUGGGGCAAAGGCUUGCCGCCUUGGGAGGGGCCCGCGUCCGAUUAGCUUGUUGGUGAGGUAACGGCUCACCAAGGCGACGAUCGGUAGCUGGUCUGAGAGGAUGAUCAGCCACACUGGGACUGAGACACGGCCCAGACUCCUACGGGAGGCAGCAGUGGGGAAUAUUGGACAAUGGGCGGAAGCCUGAUCCAGCAAUGCCGCGUGUGUGAUGAAGGCCUUAGGGUUGUAAAACACUUUCGCCGAUGACGAUGAUGACGGUAGUCGGAUAAGAAGCCCCGGCUAACUCCGUGCCAGCAGCCGCGGUAAUACGGAGGGGGCGAGCGUUGUUCGGAAUUACUGGGCGUAAAGGGCGCGUAGGCGGUGACGUUAGUCGGGCGUGAAAGCCCCGGGCUCAACCUGGGAUGUGCGUUCGAUACUGCGUUGCUUGAGAGCGGAAGAGGGUAGUGGAAUUCCCAGUGUAGAGGUGAAAUUCGUAGAUAUUGGGAAGAACACCAGU